Molecule: long non-coding RNA, 1418 nt
Filed under: Vombatus ursinus (common wombat)
Lineage: Eukaryota; Metazoa; Chordata; Mammalia; Diprotodontia; Vombatidae
Description: lncRNA (ENSVURG00010023418.1)
Source: RNAcentral
CCUUGAGAUAAUUGCCCACAUCUCCACUUUGAGCAAAUAGUAUUAGUAUUUGGGGUUCCUUGGAAAGGCUUUAAGGAGGAAAUAUCCAGGGUACUAGGCAGGAAAUAGGAGUGAGGACCAAGGACGAUGCAGAGCUAUCAUGGCCCAGGGGUUGGCUCCCCAGCCUCAGUGGGAGACGAUGGAGGGCCUUGGCCCACUUCUGGUUGGUUGGAUCCCAAGCCCAGCCCAGGAAGGUCAGCCAGUUCCUCUUGCAGUAAGGAGGUCUCCUGAAGGGAUGAGCACCCAGCUGACUCAAUGGUCCUCUUUGUUCCCAGGAAGCUCAGAGCCUCCCUCAGGUGAUCAAGGCCCAGGAAGAUGGGGUGCAGGGAGAGUGUUGGUGAGGAAAUUUGCAGCAUCAGUGGAAUAUGAGGUCAUCUGAAAGUCACAAGAUCUAGUCUCUGGGAUCCUGGCUCCUUGUUAGAUAGCCUUGGGCACCAUCACUCUUCCUUGGUUUCUCCAUCUUGGGAGCAAUCUUGUUGGACUGGCCCUCGGGCACAUUCUGAAAGAGUGCUAAUUAAAAUACGUGGAACAGAAGACUGUUCAUGAAGUGUGGAACCAAGGUACCCACACCCACAGGCAGUGUGACUCAGCAGGAAGGUCCAUCCAAGACCUCCCAGGAGCUUGCCCCAUGGCUGAGCAGAAGCAGGAAGCAUGACGGGUUGGAAACAGCUCCCGACUGACUGCUAGAGUGUCAUGGGUUGGCAAGACACUGCUGACUUUAGUCCUUAAAUGCCUCGUCAUAGUCCAGAGAUGACCCAGGCGCUGACCUUCAGAUGCCUGAACAGUGCCAGGAUUUCAACUUGGAAGGGACCAGCCCUGUCAUUUUACCCAUGGAGAGGAGUGACUUUUCCAGGGUCACACUGGUCAUAAAGAGCAGAGCUGGGGUUUGUACCCAGGUCUUUGCCAUGCACAUAGAUAUAUACACAUACAUACAUCACCACAUUGCUUCUCAAAUUCCUGGCUGCUCUCUGGGGCAGUUCAACCCAGGCAUCAGACUCUGAGAGAGCUGUUUCUCCAUACUCUGGAAGCAUCUCCUUCAGGGCUUCCUCUGAAGUCCCAGUGGCUUCAGUGGCCAAAGCAGAAGCCUCAGAGCUAGUCCAACAUGUCCAGGCCAGACUCUGUGGACUUCUUAGUCAGCCCCAAGCUUCCUUCUUAGUGCUAGGCUGGCUUCAGUAUGUGCUGAAGGAGCUGGGGGAGCAGACAGAGGUGAUGGUCCCUCUCCACCUACUGCUGUGGGGCUCUGUAAUCCCAUUCAGCUGGAUGCUGGAGGGGCCUUUUCACUCCUUCUCCUUCUCCUCCUUCUCCUUCUCCUUCUUUUUGUUGGACUGUUUAUUUUCUUUUUCGUGUCCCAAACUGCUCUACCCUUGGGAGUUUAGAGA